Molecule: ribosomal RNA, 465 nt
Filed under: Vreelandella stevensii
Lineage: Bacteria; Pseudomonadati; Pseudomonadota; Gammaproteobacteria; Oceanospirillales; Halomonadaceae
Description: partial 16S ribosomal RNA
Rfam family: Bacterial small subunit ribosomal RNA
Source: RNAcentral
CCUACGGGGGGCAGCAGUGGGGAAUAUUGGACAAUGGGGGGAACCCUGAUCCAGCCAUGCCGCGUGUGUGAAGAAGGCCCUCGGGUUGUAAAGCACUUUCAGUGAGGAAGAACGCCUGGUGGUUAAUACCCAUCAGGAAAGACAUCACUCACAGAAGAAGCACCGGCUAACUCCGUGCCAGCAGCCGCGGUAAUACGGAGGGUGCGAGCGUUAAUCGGAAUUACUGGGCGUAAAGCGCGCGUAGGUGGCUUGAUAAGCCGGCUGUGAAAGCCCCGGGCUCAACCUGGGAACGGCAUCCGGAACUGUCAAGCUAGAGUGCAGGAGAGGAAGGUAGAAUUCCCGGUGUAGCGGUGAAAUGCGUAGAGAUCGGGAGGAAUACCAGUGGCGAAGGCGGCCUUCUGGACUGACACUGACACUGAGGUGCGAGAGCGUGGGUAGAAAACAGGAUUAGAUACCCUAGCAGUC